UGCAGUCUGGUCAAAUUCAGUGCAUCCUCCUCAAUGGACUGUACUGGCCACACGGCUGCCAAAGCGACGACAUGGUCCAUGGGCCCUGGGUUUUAAUCAAGUGGAUACUGGGGAUAAAUAAUGGCUAUGUACAGAC
Small nucleolar RNA from Silurus meridionalis, 136 nucleotides. RefSeq annotates it as small nucleolar RNA SNORA5. NCBI's taxonomy places the organism in Eukaryota, Metazoa, Chordata, Actinopteri, Siluriformes, Siluridae. The record is from RefSeq and is a predicted model, not a curated record. The transcript has a single exon.